AUCUACACAAGAAACAAAUACCCAGUCGAGGUGACACGUAUUGAAGCGUUAGGAGUUAUUUCUUUUUUCAAAAACACGAAGAUCGAAUCUGAUGGUUUCAAAAAACACAAAGAAGCGGUGAGAGAGGGUUUAGGAUCCUCUGACUUGCUUGACUUUAGUAUACAUAGCAUCUUUUUGGGGUUUAUAUUAUAUCGAAGGUUAAUUUUGAAUUUGAAUAAAAAAUGAUGCAAUUAAUAUAGGUUAGAAUCAAGGCCCAUAUUGAUUUCUGAUUUCUAAGACAGAUGGUGAUGGUAAUGGUAAUGCUAAUGGUAAUGGAAG
Molecule: long non-coding RNA, 318 nt
Filed under: Gossypium barbadense (sea-island cotton)
Lineage: Eukaryota; Viridiplantae; Streptophyta; Magnoliopsida; Malvales; Malvaceae
Description: long non-coding RNA (GBAR_LNC015989)
Source: RNAcentral